This 555-nucleotide ribosomal RNA is filed under the name Congolacerta asukului (Asukulus grass lizard). RNAcentral's name for it is "partial 16S ribosomal RNA". It matches the Rfam family "Bacterial large subunit ribosomal RNA", at positions 1796 to 2617 of the family's 2925-position model. The record is from RNAcentral. Lineage: Eukaryota; Metazoa; Chordata; Lepidosauria; Squamata; Lacertidae.
UCGCCUGUUUAUCAAAAACAUAGCCUUUAGCCUAACAAGUAUUAAAGGUUUCGCCUGCCCAGUGAUUUAUUCAACGGCCGCGGUAUCCUAACCGUGCAAAGGUAGCAUAAUCACUUGUCUCCUAAAUAGGGACUAGUAUGAACGGCUAAAUGAAGACUAAACUGUCUCUUAUAGUUAACCAAUGAAACUGAUCUUUCAGUCCAAAAGCUGAAAUAUACCCAUAAGACGAGAAGACCCUGUGGAGCUUUAAACCAAAAAUCACAAUAAUGACACCAUGGUUUUUAGUUGGGGCGACUUCGGAGCAUAAAAAACCCUCCGACUUACAUUUACUAAAAUAAACACAUUAAAGUAAUUAUAAUAGACCCAGUAGUUAAACCAGCUAUCUGAUCAACGAACCAAGUUACCCCAGGGAUAACAGCGCCAUCCUCUUCUAGAGUCCAUAUCAACAAGAGGGUUUACGACCUCGAUGUUGGAUCAGGGCACCCCAAUAGUGCAGCCGCUAUUAAAGGUUCGUUUGUUCAACGAUUAAAGCCCUACGUGAUCUGAGUUCAGACC